Molecule: ribosomal RNA, 389 nt
Filed under: Pycnococcaceae sp.
Lineage: Eukaryota; Viridiplantae; Chlorophyta; Pseudoscourfieldiophyceae; Pseudoscourfieldiales; Pycnococcaceae
Description: partial small subunit ribosomal RNA
Rfam family: Eukaryotic small subunit ribosomal RNA
Source: RNAcentral
AUUCCAGCUCCAAUAGCGUAUAUUUAAGUUGUUGCGGUUAAAAAGCUCGUAGUUGGAUUUCGGGCGUGGAGGUUCGGUCCGCCGUUUCGGUGUGCACUGUCUUUCUGCGUCUUUCUGUCGGGGACGCGCUUCUGGCCUUAAUUGGCUGGGACGUGGAUCCGACGAGGUUACUUUGAAAAAAUUAGAGUGUUCAAAGCAAGCUAAAGCUCUGAAUACAUUAGCAUGGAAUAACGCGAGAGGACUCGGUCCUUAUUUUGUUGGUCUUCAAGGGUGGAGUAAUGAUUAAGAGGGACAGUUGGGGGCAUUCGUAUUUCAUUGCUAGAGGUGAAAUUCUUGGAUUUAUGAAAGACGAACUUCUGCGAAAGCAUUUGCCAAGGAUGUUUUCAUCA